AUUGAACGCUGGCGGCAUGCUUUACACAUGCAAGUCGAACAGUAACAGGCCUUCGGGUGCUGACGAGUGGCGAACGGGUGAGUAAUGCAUCGGAACGUGCCCAAUCGUGGGGGAUAACGUAGCGAAAGUUACGCUAAUACCGCAUAAGCCCUGAGAGGGAAAGUGGGGGACCGCAAGGCCUCACGCGAAUGGAGCGGCCGAUGUCAGAUUAGCUAGUUGGUGGGGUAAAGGCGUCACCAAGGCGACGAUCUGUAGCGGGUCUGAGAGGAUGAUCCGCCACACUGGGACUGAGACACGGCCCAGACUCCUACGGGAGGCAGCAGUGGGGAAUUUUGGACAAUGGGCGCAAGCCUGAUCCAGCCAUGCCGCGUGCGGGACGAAGGCCUCGG
RNAcentral lists this ribosomal RNA (389 nucleotides) under uncultured bacterium. RNAcentral's name for it is "bacterial SSU rRNA". It matches the Rfam family "Bacterial small subunit ribosomal RNA", at positions 29 to 420 of the family's 1533-position model. The record is from RNAcentral.